RNAcentral lists this ribosomal RNA (449 nucleotides) under uncultured bacterium. RNAcentral describes it as "bacterial SSU rRNA". It matches the Rfam family "Bacterial small subunit ribosomal RNA", at positions 15 to 507 of the family's 1533-position model. The record is from RNAcentral.
GAUCAUGGCUACAGAACGAACGCUGGCGGCAGGCCUCAAACAUGCAAGUCUAGGGGGUGUAGCAAUACAUCACCGGCGGACGGGUGCGUAACACGUGGGAAUAUACCUUUUGGUUCGGAACAACGCAGGGAAACUUGCGCUAAUACCGAAUGUGCCCUUACGGGGAAAGAUUUAUCGCCAAAGGAUUAGCCCGCGUAGGAUUAGCUAGUUGGUGAGGUAAUGGCUCACCAAGGCUCCGAUCCUUAGCUGUUCUGAGAGGAAGAUCAGCCACACUGGGACUGAGACACGGCCCAGACUCCUACGGGAGGCAGCAGUUGGGAAUCUUGGACAAUGGGGGAAACCCUGAUCCAGCCAUGCCGCGUGAGUGAUGAAGGCCUUCGGGUUGUAAAACUCUUUCGACGGGGACGAUAAUGACGGUACCCGUAGAAGAAGCUCCGGCUAACUUCGUG